GGUGCUAUGGUGUAGUGGCAGCACAUGGGAUUCUGACCUGAUCGUAUUCCCAUAACCCAGGUUCGAACCCUGGUAGUGCCU
Molecule: transfer RNA, 81 nt
Filed under: Armillaria luteobubalina
Lineage: Eukaryota; Fungi; Basidiomycota; Agaricomycetes; Agaricales; Physalacriaceae
Rfam family: tRNA
About the family: Transfer RNA (tRNA) molecules are approximately 80 nucleotides in length.
Source: Rfam by way of RNAcentral